CAUUUUGAAUCUUCUUGGAUCAGUUGGUCCCAUUAUAAUUCCACAUUUAAGUGCACUCGGGCUAGAGUAGUUAUGGGAUGGGUGACCACCUGGGAAGUCCUAGUGUUUUACAUGC
Non-coding RNA from Picea glauca (white spruce), 115 nucleotides. NCBI's taxonomy places the organism in Eukaryota, Viridiplantae, Streptophyta, Pinopsida, Pinales, Pinaceae. The record is from Rfam.